Long non-coding RNA from Oncorhynchus masou masou (cherry salmon), 4905 nucleotides. RefSeq lists it as uncharacterized. The transcript is spliced from 4 exons. The record is from RefSeq and is a predicted model, not a curated record. NCBI's taxonomy places the organism in Eukaryota, Metazoa, Chordata, Actinopteri, Salmoniformes, Salmonidae.
GACGAAGUGGCGAACAUGGAGGGUAGUAGAGAAGCGUCAACGAAUUCACUGCUAAAUGAUGGUGUAUCAGCCACGUAUUCGUUUAAGAAUGAGAGCUACCGAGUUGACUGUGCAGUCCAUCAUUGGCAACUUACAGCAAGAAUGCUAUGCUGAUUUUCUCACAGAGGACUUUGACGUGAAGACGUACACAGCCCAGGCCAUCCACCAUGCUGUCAUCUUAGAACAGCUGGCCAAGCUGGCUCAGGGUAUCAGUCAGCUGGACAAGGAGCUCCACAGCCAGGUGGUAGCCAGGCACGAGGAGCUACUUACUCAAGCUACUGGGACUGAGUCUUUGGAAGUUAAUAUACCUUUAGCUAAAAUUUGUUUUUGUCAUCGUGGCACUUCGGACUUGUUGGAACAGGGGUUCUCAAAGUGGGGUCUGCGGACCCCUCUGGGCUUUUGGCCAAGAGAGCCAUGGCCAAAAGCCACGGAUCCCUGUGUAAUACAAUACAAGUACCGUGGAUACAAUGUAAUAUUAUGCAUCUAAAAUGUAUCUUCUUAACCCUGAACAACAUGGGCCUGGGAGGCUCACAGGGAUAUUGGUAUCCACAGUACUCCACCAAUUGAUCACGCUCUCCACAGCCGAUGUGAGUAAGGCCUUUAAACAGGUCAACAUUCGCAAGGCUGCAGAGUCAGACGGAUUACCAGGACGUGUACUACGAGCAUGUGCUGACCAACUGGCAAGUGUCUUCACUGACAUUUUCAACCUCUCCCUGUCUGAGUCUAUAAAUCCAAUAUGUUUCAAGCAGACCACCAUAGUUCCUGAAAGAUUAUUGGAAUCUGUGUGGGUAGCUGGACAGGUAGGAUGACUGGCAAUAGUGAAGGUGAACAGAUGGUCAGGUGACAGAGGAAUGACUGAGGCAGGACUUCCUUUAACCACAAAGUGGUAUAUGUACUGGUUAGUUUGUCUGUGCUGUAUAACAAAAGAAACAGAAUAACAUGUACCCAAUAAAAAUUCAAAUCAGAAAGUCAAAUGAUAACUAUCAUUGUCAUUAUUAACAUAAUAAUUCAGCAAUAAGGUUCCAUAGGAAUUCAAUAUGAAGCAGAAUGGAGUCAUUUAUGAUCAUAACCAUGUUAACCAUCAUGUUAAUCCAGAGAAGGAUUAAUGCAAAUAAAUUGUUCAUUUAUACAAUCUAUAACCUCCAAUUUUAUAUAAGAAUUUAUCAUUUCAGCAAACCAUUAAGUUUAAUAUUUCAUCCUUCUAGGUUAGUCUUCAUAUGUACAUGUAAUUUCAUUACAUUUUAACCAUCUAUCAAUGUCUGUAGGGCUGUGAUCAUUGGCCAUAUACAUAACACAACAGGUUUGAAGCGUGCACUCCAAGCCUCGCUCCGCAGUAAUUACUAUAAACAAUAACUGAUGGCCCGCUCUCCCGAUUGCAGCAUAGUUCAGAUGAAAGGGAACAGAUUCGGUGGAGUUACGUUGAUUCAUGGACACACAGAAUGUCUGGAUUAGACGAAGUUGACGAAGAGAAAGCAGUGAGGUUGGGCAGUGGCGAUGUCCUCCUUUUACUGAUUUGAGAUCUGUCUGACAUUUCCACCCGACCUAAUUAAAGCGCCCCUGGCCCAGCUGAGCAAGUGGCCAUGAAUUAAAGGACAAUUCCACCAACUCCAUAGGCCAUUCUACAGUCCCUGUGCCCAAGAACACUAAGGUAACCUGCCUAAAUGACUACCGACCCGUAGCACUCACGUCUGUAGUCAUGAAAUGCUUUGAAAGGCUGGUCAUGGCUCACAUCAACACCAUUAACCCAGAAACCCAAGACCCACUCUAAUUUGCGUACCUCACCAACAGAUCCACAGAUGAUGCAAUCUCUAUUGCACUCCACACUGCCCUUUUAAAACAUUUAUUUAAAUUUGUUCACCUUUAUUUAACUUGGUAAGCUAGUUGAGAACAAGUUCUCAUUUACAACUGCGACCUGGUCAAGAUAAAGCAAAGCAGUGAGACAGAAACAACAACACAGGGUUGCACAUGGAAUAAACACACCUGGACAAAAGGGACACCUAUGUGAGAAUGCUAUUCAUUGACUACAGCUCAGCUUUCAACACCAUAGUGGCCUCCAAGCUUAUCACUAAGCUAAGGACCCUGGGGCUAAACAACACCCUCUGCAACUGAAUCCUGGACUUCCUGACGGGCUGCCCCCAGGUGGUAAGGGUAGGCAACAACACAUCCGUCCACGCUGAUCCUCAACACGGGGGCCCCUCAGGAAUGCGUGCUCAGGCCCUUCCUGUACUCCCUGAUCAUUCAUGACUCCAACACCGUCAUUAAGGUUGCUGAUGACACAAAGAUGAGACAGCCUACAGGGAGGAGGUCAGGGACCUGACCGUGUGGUGCAAGGACAACAACCUCUCCCUCAACGUGAUUUAAGACAAAGAAGAUGUUCGUGGACUACAAGAAAAAUACGGCAAUUGUUCGGCCUCUGACCGCAAGGCACUACAGAGGGUAGUGCGAACAGCCCAGUACAUCACCGGGGCCAAGCUUCCUGCCACCCAGGACAUCUAUACCAGGCGGUGCCAGAGGAAGGCACUAAAAUUUGUCAUAGACUCCAGCCACCGUAGUCAUAGACUGUUCUCUCUGCUACCGCACAGCAAGCGGUACCGGAGCACCAAGUCUACUUCCAAGAGGCUUCUAAACAGCUUCUAUCCCCAAGACAUAAGACUCCUGAACAGCUAAUCAAAUGGCAACCCAGACUAUUUGUAUUCCCCCCCCACCCUCUUUUACACUGCUGCUACUCUUUAUUAUCUUUGCAUAGUCACUUUAAUAACUCUACCUACAUGUACAUGUUAUUCAAUUACCUUGACACCGGUGCCCCCGCACAUUGGCACAUUGACUCUGUACCGGUACCCCCUGUAUAUAGCCCCACUAUUGUUAUUUACUGCUGCUCUUUAAUGAUUUGUUAUUCUUAUCGCUUACUUUUUUGGGGGGUAUUUUCUUUAAACUGCAUUGUUGCUUAAGGGCUUGUAAGUAAACAUUUCACUGUAAGGUCUACACCUGUUGUGUUCGGCACAUGUGACAAUUACAAUUUGAUUUGAUUAUAUACAGUAUAUUUUUUUACAUAAAUGCAAUGUAAUUGAAGUUUAAAACGUCAAUGUUUUCUCUCUGCUUCGUGGCGAAAUGUGUAGAAUUGCAGGAAAUUAGCUAAGAGGCGGCCCUUUUUAAAUGUUAUUUUCGCACUGCAGACGUCACGGUAAAUCUCCUUGUAGACUAUUUAUUUGUGUAAUGAUAAUGAGGGUGUCCCUGAUGAAUUUGCUAUCACAAAAGGGGUCCCCAGACCCAAAAAGUUUAAGAACUUCUCUGCUGGAAUAUAUUCUGUCAUUGUAGUGCUGUAGACAUUCCAUAGGGAGCGCUGCUGUCACACAAUUGGAUAUAAGCAUCAGUGCGUCUCUCAGUAUUGAAAAAACAUCUUACCCUGUAUCAGUGGUGAGGUGUGUUAUCUACUCCAAGCCUAUAAGACCAUAACACAUCAUCACAGGGAAUGAUCAAGGCAAAAUAGAACUUCUUUUGUUUUAUUUUACCUUUAUUUAACUAGGCAAGUCAGUUAAAAACUCAUUCUUAUUUACAAUGACAUCCUAACUCAGACGACGCUGGGCCAAUUGUGUGCCGCUCUAUGGGACUCCCAAUCACGGCCGGUUGUGAUACAGCCUGGAAUCGAACCAGGGUCUGCAUUGACUCCUCUAGCACUGAGAUGCGGUGCCUUAGACUGCUGCGCCACUUGUGUUCAGAGACCCUCAAUAAAGCCGACCUCUAGUAACAGCACUCAACCUAUUUGUUUUCUCUCAUAGGAUAAGGACAAAGAUUGUUGACCCAUACAAUAAGAUUGUAGCUAGGACUGCCCAGCUCUCCAGAUUGCAGGUAUCCAUCCAUCUCCUUGUGAUUUGAGAGGCAUAAUACUAUCUGUUGUGCUGAUGGUGGUGUUGUAUUAUUAUAUGGUCUGGGACUGAGGCUCAAUAGCAGGGGGAAGAUUGCCUCUCUAGUGUUCAUUAUUAUCAGCACUCUGACAGCAUCUCUACUUCUGCACUGGACUUGAUUUCUAUGUUUAUUGGAAAGACAUCUGAGGUAGAGAAAUGGACCGACAGCAUUUUCUUGGGUUUUUAUUGUCUCUCUGCCCAUUUUCAAGAUGGGUACUUCAAGUUAGGUGCUGUACAUAUUGUCAAGGUUGCCUAAUGUAUCCUGGACAGUUUCCAGGAUCCUCCUGUUUUAAAUUGUAAAGAUGACAAUAACCCAGAGUCAUAUAGAGGUCUAUAUACCUGUAUAUGGCUCUAGGAUGUCCUCUUCUGCCCUGUCAAUACAAUGUAACUAUAGAAGGUGUCGGUGUCUCAUGCCAUACUGAUAUGAGUGCUCUGUACUCAAUGGUUUACAACAAAGAUACUGUGUGUUUUUAUUGACCGUUAAACAACACAAAUAUUAUAUGACCACUUUUACUCUUGUUGCACAUGCCUGCCAUUAUGGAAUUACUCCCCACCACUUUGGAGAAAGGCAUUUAUAAAGGUGUUUUAUGGAACUGUGUAACGAUUGUCUGUGGAAGAAGGUGUGGACCAAAGCGCAGCAUGUGUUCAUGAUUUUUGUUUGACUGAACACGAAAACACAAAACAACAACGCGAAUAAACGAAACAGUCCUGUAAGAUGCAGAAAACACUAAACAGAAAAUAACUACCCACAAGACACAGGUGGGAAAAGGCUACCUAAAUAUGGUUCUCAAUCAGAGACAACGAUAGACAGUUGCCUCUGAUUGAGAACCACACCGAGCCAAACACACAGAAAUAGAAAACAUAGAAUGCCCACCCUAACUCACGCCCUGACCAAACCAAAAUAGAGACAUAAAAAGUAUCUAAGGUCAGGGCGUGACAGUACCCCCCUCCAAAGGUGCGGACU